This 253-nucleotide ribosomal RNA is filed under the name uncultured bacterium. RNAcentral's name for it is "partial 16S ribosomal RNA". It matches the Rfam family "Bacterial small subunit ribosomal RNA", at positions 524 to 776 of the family's 1533-position model. The record is from RNAcentral.
AACGUAGGUACCGAGCGUUAUCCGGAUUCACUGGGCGUAAAGCGCGUGCAGGUGGUUUGGUAAGUCGGGCAUGAAAACUCUUGGCUCAACUGAGAGACGCUGUCCGAUACUGCCGGACUUGAGGGUGUAAGAGGGAGGUGGAAUUCCGCAUGUAGUGGUGAAAUGCGUAGAUAUGCGGAGGAACACCAGUGGCGAAGGCGGCCUCCUGGUACACUCCUGACACUCAGGCACGAAAGCGUGGGGAGCAAACAGG